CAUGGUUCUGUGCGAUUUUUAUGAUGAAUCUGUUGAAAUGUUGAAGUUGAUUUUCUGGUGAUUUACAGAGAAAAUUUUAAAAUGAUUUUCUCUGCGUUUUCGGUUAUAGCAAUAAUAAUUCAUGCUUUGUGCGUUUCUGGUGAUUUUUAUGUUUACAGGAAAGCUAAAGUUCACAACAACAAUAAUUUUAAGACCGAGAGUGUAGAUGACUUACCUACGGCAACGAGGUUUUUUCCGGUUAUCAUUGUGCAACAAUAACAGCCUUCAAGUUUUUUUCAGUGGCCCGAUUUGUUUCACGAACAGAGAGAAAUAGCAACAACAAUAUUGAGGGUAAGAGUGAAAUUAACUUACCUACGGCGAGGAG
Long non-coding RNA from Vicia villosa (hairy vetch), 364 nucleotides. RefSeq lists it as uncharacterized. The transcript has 3 exons. NCBI's taxonomy places the organism in Eukaryota, Viridiplantae, Streptophyta, Magnoliopsida, Fabales, Fabaceae. The record is from RefSeq and is a predicted model, not a curated record.